Molecule: small nuclear RNA, 97 nt
Filed under: Mus pahari (shrew mouse)
Lineage: Eukaryota; Metazoa; Chordata; Mammalia; Rodentia; Muridae
Source: RNAcentral
GUGCUCACUUCGGCAGCACAUAUGCUAAAAUUGGAACAAUACAGAGAAUAUUAGCAUGGCCCCUGUGCAAGGAUGACAAAAUAAUUAUCCUGAUUAU